RNAcentral lists this ribosomal RNA (481 nucleotides) under uncultured bacterium. Its description in RNAcentral is "partial 16S ribosomal RNA". It matches the Rfam family "Bacterial small subunit ribosomal RNA", at positions 28 to 507 of the family's 1533-position model. The record is from RNAcentral.
GAUGAACGCUGGCGGCGUGCCUAACACAUGCCAGUCGAACGGAGAUUACGGACGGAAGUUUUCGGAUGGAAGACUGUAAUUCUUAGUGGCGGACGGGUGAGUAACGCGUGGGCAACCUGCCCUAUACAGGGGGAUAGCAGCUGGAAACGGCUGGUAAGACCGCAUAAGUCGGCGAGACCGCAUGGUUUUGCCGGGAAAUGAGCAAUCAGGUAUAGGAUGGGCCCGCGUCCGAUUAGCCAGUUGGCAGGGUAAAAGCCUACCAAAGCAACGAUCGGUAGCCGGACUGAGAGGUCGGACGGCCACAUUGGGACUGAGACACGGCCCAAACUCCUACGGGAGGCAGCAGUGGGGGAUAUUUCACAAUGGAGGAAACUCUGAUGCAGCGACGCCGCGUGAGUGAAGAAGUAUUUCGGUAUGUAAAGCUCUAUCAGCAGGGAAGAUGAUGACGGUACCUGACUAAGAAGCCCCGGCUAACUACGUG